AUUGAACGCUAGCGGGAUGCUUUACACAUGCAAGUCGAACGAGUGGCGGACGGGUGAGUUAUAUAUCGGCCCGUGCGCAGUAGAGGGGGAUAACUACUCGAAAGAAUGGCCAAUUCCGCCUACUAUAGGAGCGGCCGAUGUCGGAUUAGCUAGUUGGAGGGGUAAAGGCACACCACGGCAACGAUCCGUAGCUGGUUUGAGAGGAGGACCAGCCACACUGGGACUGAGACACGGCCCAGACUCCUACGGGAGGCAGCAGUGGGGAAUUUUGGACAAUGGGGGAAACCCUGAUCCAGCCAUCCCGCGUGUAUGAGAAGGCCUUCGGGUUGUAAAGUACUUUUGGCAGAGAAGCGGUAUCUGCAGAAUAAGCACCGGCUAACUACGUGCCAGCAGCCGCGGUAAUAC
RNAcentral lists this ribosomal RNA (405 nucleotides) under uncultured bacterium. RNAcentral's name for it is "partial 16S ribosomal RNA". It matches the Rfam family "Bacterial small subunit ribosomal RNA", at positions 30 to 526 of the family's 1533-position model. The record is from RNAcentral.